Molecule: ribosomal RNA, 247 nt
Filed under: uncultured Peptostreptococcus sp.
Lineage: Bacteria; Bacillati; Bacillota; Clostridia; Peptostreptococcales; Peptostreptococcaceae
Description: partial 16S ribosomal RNA
Rfam family: Bacterial small subunit ribosomal RNA
Source: RNAcentral
AGUAACGCGUGGGUAACCUGCCCUAUACACAUGGAUAACAUACUGAAAAGUUUACUAAUACAUGAUAAUAUAUAUUUACGGCAUCGUAGAUAUAUCAAAGUGUUAGCGGUAUAGGAUGGACCCGCGUUUGAUUAGCUAGUUGGUGAGAUAACUGCCCACCAAGGCGACGAUCAGUAGCCGACCUGAGAGGGUGAUCGGCCACAUUGGAACUGAGACACGGUCCAAACUCCUACGGGAGGCAGCAGCU